CAGCCGCCGCGGGAAUACAGAGGAUUUAAGCGUUAUCCGGAAUGAUUGGGCGUAAAGCGUCUGUAGGUGGCUUUUCAAGUCCGUCGUCAAAUCCCAGGGCUCAACCCUGGACAGGCGGUGGAAACUACCAAGUUGGAGUACGGUAGGGGCAGAGGGAAUUUCCGGUGGAGCGGUGAAAUGCGUUGAGAUCGGAAAGAACACCGACGGCGAAAGCACUCUGCUGGGCCGACGUUGACACUGAGAGACGAAUGCUAGGGGAGAAAAUGGGAUUAGAUACCCCAGUAGUCCCUGUCUCUUAUAA
RNAcentral lists this ribosomal RNA (301 nucleotides) under uncultured bacterium. RNAcentral describes it as "partial 16S ribosomal RNA". It matches the Rfam family "Bacterial small subunit ribosomal RNA", at positions 509 to 809 of the family's 1533-position model. The record is from RNAcentral.